UACGAAGGGGGCUAGCGUUGCUCGGAAUUACUGGGCGUAAAGCGCACGUAGGCGGAUCUUUAAGUCAGGGGUGAAAUCCUGUAGCUCAACUCCAGAACUGCCUUUGAUACUGAGGGUCUUGAGUUCGGGAGAGGUGAGUGGAACUGCGAGUGUAGAGGUGAAAUUCGUAGAUAUUCGCAAGAACACCAGUGGCGAAGGCGGCUCACUGGCCCGAUACUGACGCUGAGGUGCGAAAGCGUGGGGAGCAAACAGG
This 253-nucleotide ribosomal RNA is filed under the name uncultured bacterium. RNAcentral describes it as "partial 16S ribosomal RNA". It matches the Rfam family "Bacterial small subunit ribosomal RNA", at positions 524 to 776 of the family's 1533-position model. The record is from RNAcentral.